UUGCUAGAAUACUCGAUUUGUGUUUGUUGAAUCUCUCUUAGAACCCUACUCGAACUCUCCUCCCUGAGACUGAAACUUUCCUCUUUUGAAUAUGUGGAGGAGCAAAGUGCAAGAAAGGUAGUAGAAUGAGCGGUGGGAAAGGCGAAUAAGGAUGGCGUUACACAGUCCCAUAUCUCUCUCAAUCUCUCAAUGAUACGUUUAAUGCUCUUCCCCAAUGUCAAAACCCUAAACCCCUCUCUCCAAUGCCACGACCUCUCCAUCAACCUUCACUCCUCACACUUUUUCCUCACUCUCACAACUUUCUCUCGCUCCCUUAGGGUUCUGCUUCCAGCCGUCAUGCUCAAUGCCGACUCUCGAGUAACAUUUUGCCCACUUUCCGACCACAUUGAGGUCAAGCUCCUCCUCCUCCUCCUCGUCGACAAUCCCAUCCUUUCCUCACUUCACUCUUCACCAACUCCGCUGUCGGACCCUCUCAUACCAAAAUCUGAUGUUAAAGAUGUGAAAAAGAGAAAGAGAAGUGCGUGCGUUUUGUUUGUGAGUUGUGCAUCAGCGUGAGAAAAGGGAGAAAAUAGGAUCUCGUGGAGUUGUGUAUAUAUGAUGCUCUGUGGUAUGGAUCAGGUCUCCAUAGAACAUAUGGACAAAAACCAACUAAAGGGUCUCCAUAUCUAAGGAUUUGCAUUGCAUGAACAUACCCAUAUCAUGUGGCAAGAAUCGUGUUCUCUGUUGGAGAUAAUAAUCUCCUUCGAUCUUCAUUCAUUCUAGGUCCCUGUUCGCACUUAGGCAUUCAAUACUUUGCGGCCUCCAAACGGGUUUCAUUUAAUUUACUUAAGGAGUACUCAGAAGCACACUCAAAGGCCUCCAUAUGGGAAAAUGAGCUCCUGGAUAUAGGCUACAGCCUUUGUGCAUCCAGAUUCCCUACAUAGUAAGGGCUCUUAAUUUUGAACUAAGAACUCUAGCCUCACGUUUUGUUUCCUUAGUUGGUAUAAGGUUAACCCUUUGCAUAUUAUUUUCUCUGUUAGUCGUGUACUCUUUGUGUCAGAUGGCUUACUCCAAGUAACAUUUAUUUUUAUACUUCUUGAUACACUUGAUAAGGAUAUUAAUUUGUUUUCCAUGAGAGUGAGGUAGUAUUGUAUAACAUUAAAUAAUUCAUUUCUUCGACAGUUUUGUUAACAUGAAGAAUUUAGUUCUCUA
This is a long non-coding RNA of Vigna radiata var. radiata (mung bean), 1191 nucleotides long. RefSeq lists it as uncharacterized. NCBI's taxonomy places the organism in Eukaryota, Viridiplantae, Streptophyta, Magnoliopsida, Fabales, Fabaceae. The record is from RefSeq and is a predicted model, not a curated record. The transcript has 7 exons.